RNAcentral lists this ribosomal RNA (253 nucleotides) under uncultured bacterium. RNAcentral's name for it is "partial 16S ribosomal RNA". It matches the Rfam family "Bacterial small subunit ribosomal RNA", at positions 524 to 776 of the family's 1533-position model. The record is from RNAcentral.
UACGUAGGGUGCAAGCGUUGUCCGGAAUUAUUGGGCGUAAAGAGCUCGUAGGCGGUUUGUCACGUCUGCUGUGAAAACUCGGGGCUUAACUCCGGGCCUGCAGUGGGUACGGGCAGACUAGAGUGCGGUAGGGGAGACUGGAAUUCCUGGUGUAGCGGUGAAAUGCGCAGAUAUCAGGAGGAACACCGGUGGCGAAGGCGGGUCUCUGGGCCGUAACUGACGCUGAGGAGCGAAGGCGUGGGGAGCGAACAGG